RNAcentral lists this ribosomal RNA (266 nucleotides) under uncultured bacterium. RNAcentral's name for it is "partial 16S ribosomal RNA". It matches the Rfam family "Bacterial small subunit ribosomal RNA", at positions 92 to 354 of the family's 1533-position model. The record is from RNAcentral.
CGACCGGCGCACGGGUGAGUAACACGUAUGCAACCUGGCCGUGACAGAUGGAUAACCGGGAGAAAUCCCGCCUAAUACAACAUAAUGCCGGGAGGGGACAUCCCCUGCCGGCCAAAGGGGGCGACCCCGGUCACAGAUGGGCAUGCGGCGCAUUAGGUAGUUGGUGGGGCAACGGCCCACCAAGCCGACGAUGCGUAGGGGUUCUGAGAGGAAGGUCCCCCACAUUGGAACUGAGACACGGACCAGACUCCUACGGAAGGCAGCAG